CCUGUCAUUGUCUUUAGCCCUGGAAACAGCUGUGAAGGGGUCUGUCAGGGUUGACUGGUGAAAUCUUCCCCCGCUCCCAGAGAAUGAAAAAUGUCUUGAUAAAUAAAGGGUAACCAUUACAGUUGAAUGGUUUAACUUAUGUCUCUGAGGUAAACAGGAGAAUAUGCUCAGUCACACAGGCCUCGGCUUCUUAGUUUUGGCUGCUUCAAUUUGCUUCAUUUUACCUCAGAACUGGUAGGCCAAAUAAGCUUCAAAACACAAGGAAAUUUGAUGACCCAUUAUGUUCAUGCCAUGAGGACAUGAGAUCUGAUGUCCAGUCCGAGAUAUUGUACUAGCCUACAAAAUGAUAACCAUGGAAACACAAUUUGUUUCAGUCCUCCAAGCGCCGUAGGCUGGUGGUAACAGCAAAUACUGGGAUUCUUGCUCCACAUCAUAAGCUUGCAGGAGCAGGGAAAUGCACAUUGUAAUGAUGAAGACAGAUCUCAAACAACGUUUCCCCAAAUACUACAUAAUCUGCAUAAACAACUGCAGUGGGAAAGAUAUGUUCAACUGAUAAUCUCAAAAUUAACAAAAUUGCAUUUCGACACGACAGAAACAGAAAAAAAAUACUGAAAUCCGUUCUGGUGUCUGUCAGUGUAAUGGUGCUGAAGAAUGCUGGGAUGGUGCUGAAGAAUGCUAUUGAUGCUGCCAACAGAUUUAUUCUUAAUAAAGAAUAUUCUUGGUCUUCUCAACUAGGGUUCGUUAAACGAGUUGAAGGAGGCUGGAAAAAAGGAACAACAUGCUAUGGGAUGGUGGAAUGGCGGUGGAAUCAAGUAUGGAAGAAGUUGCCAUGCUAAGAGAGCAUAUCCUCGCCAGGGUGUGGGGGGCAUUUGAGGAUGACACUAGAAGUACAGACUAUACUGAUCAGCAAGGAAGGAAGAUUCAAAUACUGUACACAUAAGUGAUGGUGUUAGCUGUCCAUUCCACUUUUAUGUCAUCUGCAACCUCCACUCUGUCAUCUAAAUCACUGAUAAAGAUGUUGAAAAGUACUCGACCAAGGACAGAAGCCUGCUGUGCCCCAUUCAAAACCUUUCUCCAGCUUGAUGAGCACUGUGAGCAUGGUUUUCCAACCAGUAAGUGAACCCACCUGACAAUAUUAUCCCCUAGCCCAUAUCUGACUAUCUGCUACCCAAUUUUUUAAUGGGGAACUUUUGUCAAAUGCUUUGCUAAAACCAAGAUAAAGUAUAUCCACAGCAUUCCCACAAUACACAACACCUACACACACACACACACAUAUAUAUAUAUAUACACACAUACAUACAUACACACACACAUAUAUGUGUGUGUGUCAGGAUUUAUACUGGCUUCUAUUAAUUGCUUAAUUGUUAAUUUAUAUUGGCUUCUA
Long non-coding RNA from Hemicordylus capensis (graceful crag lizard), 1384 nucleotides. RefSeq lists it as uncharacterized. The transcript is spliced from 6 exons. Lineage: Eukaryota; Metazoa; Chordata; Lepidosauria; Squamata; Cordylidae. The record is from RefSeq and is a predicted model, not a curated record.